This 484-nucleotide ribosomal RNA is filed under the name uncultured bacterium. RNAcentral's name for it is "bacterial SSU rRNA". It matches the Rfam family "Bacterial small subunit ribosomal RNA", at positions 8 to 518 of the family's 1533-position model. The record is from RNAcentral.
AGAGUUUGAUUAUGGCUCAGGAUGAACGCUGGCGGCGUGCCUAACACAUGCAAGUCGAGCGAUUCUCUUCGGAGAAGAGCGGCGGACGGGUGAGUAACGCGUGGGUAACCUGCCUCAUACACAUGGAUAACAUACCGAAAGGUAUGCUAAUACAGGAUAAUAUAAGAGAUUCACAUGGAUUUCUUAUCAAAGCUCCGGCGGUAUGAGAUGGACCCGCGUCUGAUUAGCUAGUUGGUAAGGUAACGGCUUACCAAGGCGACGAUCAGUAGCCGACCUGAGAGGGUGAUCGGCCACAUUGGAACUGAGACACGGUCCAAACUCCUACGGGAGGCAGCAGUGGGGAAUAUUGCACAAUGGGCGAAAGCCUGAUGCCAGCAACGCCGCGUGAGUGAUGAAGGCCUUCGGGUCGUAAAACUCUGUCCUCAAGGAAGAUAAUGACGGUACUUGAGGAGGAAGCCCCGGCUAACUACGUGCCAGCAGCCGC